GGAUUUAAAAAAAUAAAAAUCUAUUUAUUCCAGUUUAGACAAACAUUUCAUAGUACUCACAUACAUGCAUUCAUAAUAUGUACAUGUUAUGCUUACAGUCAAUCAUGCAUAUCUGAUAUAGAAAAUUAAUACAGGUAUAUACAAUAUACGCCGCGCUUAUAGGUCAGCGUCGGCGCCUCCAGAAGCCAAUGUUGAUGUUGUUGUUGUCGUCGCCGCCGCAGCACCAUGAUGAUGUCGUCGGCGCCGCAGCCCCUUGUCGAUGCCGCCGUCAUCGUCGCCGCCGCAACCCCAUGUCGAUGUCGUCGUCGUCGUCGAUGCCACCCUAUGCCCAUGUGCUCCCUAUUAGUUUUCUUGGGCUUACUAGACAUGACCCGUAGGAAAAUGCUUUGCUGUUAGGGAUUGCACUUAGGAUAACUAGAACUGGUCCAAUGAUCCAAAAAUAGAGAGUUUCAACGGGAUCAGCGACACAACCAACUAAGAAACAGUGAAAUGACCACUAGGUCUAUAAAUAGAACACUACUACGAACUCACAAAUCCUGGAAUCAGUGGAAUUACUUUCUUUGGUGAAGGAACUUCUAUUUUGCCAGCAUCAACUAUUUGAGUUCCUGACCAUGUUCAAGAAAUACUAAAUUUAGAACAUUACUACUGUAAAUACAUGAGGCAUCAGGAUAGAAAACAAAAGAUGACCCAUAUCAUAUGAGCAGAAUAAAAAGGAGUUUGGAACAUAGCAUGAUUUACAAUAAAACUAGAAGAGAUCGCAUGAUUUACAAUCCAACGAGAGCAGCAAUUUCAGACCAACAAAAAGAAGAAACCCACAUGCAGUGUCUUCAAACUUUAGUAAAUUGUGAAUUCCUCUAUCCUAAAUUCUUCGUUAGCAAAAUUAACUAGACAAAGCUAGAUGACAGUGAAACUUAAAGCUGCAAUAAGAAAUAUUAGAUAUACACAAGUUGAAAAUCAAUCUCGGUGGAACAACAUAAGAUUGCAUCUAGAUUUCCGAAUUAAACAUAGGCAUAUCUCAUAGUUUAAAAUAAAGGCACCCAACAGAAAAGUGCAUAAAAGAUUCCAAAAUAACUCAACAAGCUGCUUCAGCUAGCAUCAUAGGAGGGGAUGUAGAAGAACAAAAAUUGAGAGACCAAAGACCUUGUGGUCUCUUUUUCUUCUGUCUGCGAGUAUUUGUGCAGUCUCUUUGCGCUGUGUAGCAUAGCAUGCAGCCUAGUUCAACGCCCAUCAAAGACCAAAGAAGUGGGCUCGACGUGUAGUGGAGAAAGACAUCGGAAUUAAGGAGGACCUCAAUCAGAAGCAUGACACUCCGGCCAAGAUCCAGCUGAACCCCGAUCGAUUACAUUUUUACACCAACUAUAUGUACUGUUACAUAAUGAAGCUAGAGUACGUCAUCCAUAUAAACUAGAGUAUCGAUUUCAGCGACAUCAGUUAAUUGUACUACUACGAAAGGAAGCUGGAUAUAUAUAAUUAAGCAUGCCUAUUAAAUAGCUCAUGUCUGAUCAUAUAUACCACAGAGAAAGACGCCAGGGUACCAACUAGCAUGGUCGGUCUUAUCGAAUUAACACUACAAUAUAGCAACUAGAUUAACACACAGCACAAUGCAUACUCGACAUGAGCAGAUGCCCUCCAGCUAGCUCAACUGAUUAAUCGCCUACUGCUACCCUGCUUCGCAGUCCUACUCCUCACCACCCAGGAAGGCCAGGAAGGCCGCGAUGAUGUCUCCCACCCCAAAGAUGACGAUGUACCGGCCAAGGGGAUCCCGAUGAAACAAGGCGCUCAACCAAACCAAGCACGACACAGACCAAACCCAUGGUGUGAGAAGAAAAACUAAAAAAAUAGCCAAUGCAUAAAGAGGUAUGCAGUACAAACAACAACAAUCUUGGUCGUGAGCACCUACACGUAAUAGUUGCCUAAUGAAUGAAAUACAUGAUUCUUUCUGCUCCCUCUCAUAUUUAUUCUGCAUCUAAUCUAAUGAAAUAAUUAGGAACAGAGUGGGAGACCCUGGUGAUGCUAGAAAACUGCCUGCACGGGACAGAUGCGGAGAUGAACAAAUCUAGAAGAAGAUAAGUGGAGGGGAGGUGGGAUGAACAAGGCUGCACCUUGAUGGUUACCGCGGCUACGGCGUGUGUCAGAGCUGGAUGGAGAAGCAUCUCCAUGGAGUACGUGCACCUUGGUGCCUGCCUGCAUGAGGAAGAGCAUCAACGGAGGCAAGGGAAGGGAAGAAGGUCAGAACCAAGACAUUGAUUGAACUCACCAAGGUCGGACCUUGACGACCAGCUCCAUGCCGUCUGUCUCCUCACGAUGCUGGUCUGAUGGGCGGAUCUGGCCACCGCCAUGGCCUGCUUGCUGGAUGUCCCCCUUCUAUCCUCUCCUCUCCUCUCCUCUCGNN
Molecule: long non-coding RNA, 2392 nt
Filed under: Triticum aestivum (bread wheat)
Lineage: Eukaryota; Viridiplantae; Streptophyta; Magnoliopsida; Poales; Poaceae
Description: long non-coding RNA (TAES_LNC001494)
Source: RNAcentral